AAAACGAAAGUACAUUUCCCGCGAACAAGCAUUCGACUAUUCGAGUCAGAAGCUCAGGAAAAGUACAAAACUGCUCACAUAGACACUAAACAGUAUUGAAAGGGCCUUCGGGUUUUGGAAGCGAACCUUUCAUGUCCUUCAUGGUGAGAUUGGAAUGAAGCCUGCCAAGGUCAGCCGCAUCAUCAUUGCCUGUGCUGUUCUUCAUAAUCUGCGGUUGAUGUGGGGGUACCAGCAGUGGAUCCGGAACAUUUAGAAGAGGUUGCCGAGGAAGAGAUGUUUCAGGCUGUAUCGAAUGGGAUAAGAGUUAGAGAUACCAUUAUCGCAAAUUACUUUACUUAGGAAAUUAACAGAUUAAAUAUAAAUGUUUUUUAUAAAUUUUUAUAAAUGGUUUGCUUGUAUAUCUCUGAGUCAUACACUGAUAGUUUGGUUCCUUGUUUGUUUAUAUGGGUGUUCAUCUGUAUCUGCUGAUGCACAUCUUGUCUGCAUCUCUGAUGAAUAUACAUUAUAGAUCACUGUUAUAGAUCUAUUAUGUUAAGAUCAUAUUAUUUGUUUCAUUGAGUCAACUUUGUUAAAGCAAUAGAUAUUUUGAAGUUUUUAUUUGUUUUAUACAUGCUAUUUAGUAGAGAUAUAAUAUUGGAAACUGAUUCGUACACUGUUAAAAUCGUCAAUAAUCGAAGUUUAGUCUAAACAUAAUAAAAUCUUGGGCAAAAUACCACUUUAGCCCCCGCCAGAGGGGUGGAUAUGCACACGGAAUGAGCCCAUUGUGUUCAUUCAAUAUGUAUUCACACCUCUGGCGGGGGGCUAAAGUGUGAUAUUGCCAAAUCUUGAGAAAUGAAUGAACAGUCAACCAAUACAAUUUUCUGAUUGUUACCACAAUAUCACUUCGAUCAGAUAAUGGCUUCAGACUGUAUGACAGACUUGUUUAACAACGGUAAUUUCAUACAUAACUUUUUAACCAUUUGUUUCGUAGAUUAAAUAAUUGUACCCCACUCUUGAUUUUCCCAACGAUGGCAGCUUCCAAGUCCAUAUUAAUCCAUCUUGCUAUUUUGACUAUAAAUGUCGUGUCCAAAACAUAUUUGAUACGUAUUAUACGUUAUUCUAUG
This is a long non-coding RNA of Dreissena polymorpha, 1103 nucleotides long. RefSeq lists it as uncharacterized. The record is from RefSeq and is a predicted model, not a curated record. Lineage: Eukaryota; Metazoa; Mollusca; Bivalvia; Myida; Dreissenidae. The transcript is spliced from 3 exons.